Long non-coding RNA from Neopelma chrysocephalum (saffron-crested tyrant-manakin), 3084 nucleotides. RefSeq lists it as uncharacterized. The transcript is spliced from 2 exons. The record is from RefSeq and is a predicted model, not a curated record. Lineage: Eukaryota; Metazoa; Chordata; Aves; Passeriformes; Pipridae.
GGAGGGGAAGCCUGAGGGAACACUCUGCCAUGGCCUGUUCCUGGGAGAGGCUGAGGCUCCCGGGAGUGCCUGGAGGGUCCAUCCUGGGAGCAGGACAGCAAGGAUUGUCCAUGAGGGGCCAGGGUGGUGCUAGGACAGCUUGGGCUAUGCCUGGGAGCUGGGACCUGUCACUGGUGCCAUGUGUGGAGGAGCCCCUCAGCCAGGUGAGGCCAGGACUCACCACGUUCCCAUUCCCAGCGGAACAGGCUCUCCGUGAGGCGGGAUGCUGGAGGACACACCGGGGCCCACUCGACCGACACUCUGAGGAGCAUUUCAAGUGCUUUUCCUAAAGCUGAAUUCUCUAUAAAGGAGAAGUGACUAGAAACCCUGAACUGAGUCCCAGGUCUCGCUUAACUUUGUAAGGCACAGUGACACACUGAGGCUGCUCCACUUAAGGUAUGGUAUGAACCAGGAGCUGUGGAAUGAGUGUUCACAUGGAGUCAUCCUGCCUGUGGAAUGAGUGUUCACAUGGAGUCAUCCUGCUGCAGCUAUUCCCGAGCCGGCAGCUGCUGUGUAAGCAGAGCCUAAGAGACAAUCCUUGCCCCAGUGACUGUGUGGCAAAUAAGACAGACAAUGGGCACAAGGAAGGCCCCUGGCUAUCAGGGAAGGAUGGAUACUGCUCAACCAGCUGGGAACAAAGAAACCUGGGCUGCUCCAGGCCCUGCAGGACUGUCCCAGAGUGUCCUUCCCUGCCUGCUGGUUCCAGGAACGUGACACUUUGGGAACUGUUUGUGUCAGGACUCCUUGCUUUGACACCUUUGAUUUCUGAGACUGCCUCAUUUCAGAGCUCCUCUCCACAAGGAUUUCCCCAUCCAGCAGCUCUCAUGUCUUCACUGGAUACUGAAAUGAGAUGGAAGGGCUUGAAUGUUUCCUUGGCAAGAUGGGUGGAUGGAAUUAGUUUAAUUUGUUCUGAUUCUGGUUCUACCAAGUCAACUGGACCAAAUCACCUCCUCUGCUAACAGGCUGCAGAGCAACAGUCUCCUGGAAUAUUCUUUGUGCUGAAAACAGGAAGAUCUGGAACAAGGGUUUGUAACUUUUUUGGAUGAGUUUCUAUGUUACGAUUUUUACCUUUAAUAUCACCACUUUAAAUAAGAAUAUUUAUUUGUUGAAAUAAACACUUUUUUUGCCCUGAAAUACUGGAAUAUGCCUCCACAGCUUCUUCCUACCUCAGCUCUGCCGCUGUGAAGAGAACCCACUUGUGGAUUUCAAAGUCAGAAGGACGAGCUGGAACCUCUAACAGAGGAUGUGCACAGAGCAAUUCCUGCAGCUCCUCCUGCAGCCAGGGCCCUGAUGAGUGGAUCUUUUUCUUACCUGCUCUAGGAACUCCUGUAUAAAUGUCUGACAAGCUCUUCCAGGGCUUUAUAACUUUGUGUCUCGUUCCUUAAGGCAAGCUGCAAGUUGCCUGCUUAUCCCAUUCCAUCUUGUACAGCCUCUGCGGAUGGAACCCUUCCUGUGUGUGACUGCACGUGGUGAAGAGGAGAGCACGGGGGUUUGGGGCUAUUUUUAUCUGAUGUGUUCCCAAAGCAGCUCUCCCAGUUGCUACACUGCCUGUCAGAGUGGAGGGCUGGUGCAGCAGAGGUCUGUAGGGACACUUGGUACGUGGCCAGGGGAUCACAUGCAGGAUUCCUUGUGCACAUCCUGCAGUGGGAUCCAGCCCUGCUAGUCCCUCUUUAACACUUCAGGACAUUCUCAGCAGACCCGUGAAUCCAUUUCUCAGUGCCCAGGUUAGGCCACCAAGACUUCAAGAGCAAAUCUGACUGGUUUUAGUUUUCUUUCUUUUUAAGAUUCAGCAUCACUGAGGACCUCCAAUUUAGCUUGAAAAAUAAAAUACCUAAAAUAAAGGUGUUUGAAAAGUACAUGCAGGUAAUCAUGGGUUUUUUUCAAACUCAGCCUCAGGUGAUGCCAUCAGCUUCUACUGCAGUUAAGCACUGCCCCAGACUUCCUUGAAGUUGCCAUCCCCAGUCUGUGCUAAGCAGUAUGAACAUUAAAAUAGGCCCUGCUGAAAUAAAAUGCCCUGGUACUUGUAUGAACACACUGUUUCCUGAAAAACAGGUAACAGCAGAUGAACUACACCUGAGCCACCAUUUGAGCUGCUUUUCACAUCUUUGGAAGGUGCAGGGCAUCCAGAUCAGUACUAGGGUUACCACAGCCCACAGAGAACAGACCCGAGGCAGCAAAGAGCAAAGAGUGCAGGGUGAGAUCCCAACAGGGAAAAGAAAAAAAAAGUUAAAUUUCUCUUCAGGUACAAGCAAUUCUGUUCAUGCCUUGCAGGCUGCAAGGAGGCUCCCACUGCAGGGGACACUUGCUGAACUGCCCUGCACCAUUAUCAGCUGCUGUCAGGGCACAGCUCCUGUCCAGAGCAGUUUAAUGUGGUACAUUCAAUCAAACAGAAAUUGUAUGCCAGCCACAUACAUACAUGGAAUAAAACAAGUGCAGGAAAUACAUUUUUCAGGCAAAUUUGUUGAUUUCUUUUUCUGAAGCCCUGUGGUACUUUGCUGUAGUUUCAGAUAAAUAGCUGCUUCAGUGAGGAAAUAUUUUUAUUUAGGCAAACUUUUAUCAUAAUUUAUACCUUUGGUUUUCAGCAAGACUGAAGAAAUCCAAGCUCUCAAGGAACCUCUAGCUGUAACAGGUCCUUAUUGGGCUUUGUCUUUUUAAUUAGCCACGUUUAACUAAGAGAACAUUUGCGGGCGUUGGUGGAAAAGAAACUGGACCUUCUCCAGUGGGAUGGCUGGGCCAGCCUUCACACGAGCUGGACCCUGUUCUGGUGCCCAGUUUGUAUUGCCUGGCCUUCAAAGGUUGAUAUUUGGCACUUUUUAAAGAGGAAAACCAAAACAACCCCCCAGCAAGGUGAGGAGACUUCCCUGCACCACAAACUCAUCAGCUGAUGUAGGACAGUGUGACUGUGCCUUUCUCUGCAACAUCAAGCUCAAAAACUUUGUUAUGUCAUUGGAGCAGGAUUUGUCUCUUAACCUGGAAGGCUGGCAGUCAGAAAGUCCUCUCUUUACUGAGGCUGAUGCUGCUUUAGAUGCAGCUUAAGGGAAAAAA